GGGUGAAAAGCCCGCUCGCCGGAAGACCAAGGGUUCCUGUCCAACGUUAAUCGGGGCAGGGUGAGUCGACCCCUAAGGCGAGGCCGAAAGGCGUAGUCGAUGGGAAACAGGUUAAUAUUCCUGUACUUGGUGUUACUGCGAAGGGGGGACGGAGAAGGCUAUGUUGGCCGGGCGACGGUUGUCCCGGUUUAAGCGUGUAGGCUGGUUUUCCAGGCAAAUCCGGAAAAUCAAGGCUGAGGCGUGAUGACGAGGCACUACGGUGCUGAAGCAACAAAUGCCCUGCUUCCAGGAAAAGCCUCUAAGCAUCAGGUAACAUCAAAUCGUACCCCAAACCGACACAGGUGGUCAGGUAGAGAAUACCAAGGCGCUUGAGAGAACUCGGGUGAAGGAACUAGGCAAAAUGGUGCCGUAACUUCGGGAGAAGGCACGCUGAUAUGUAGGUGAAGCGACUUGCUCGUGGAGCUGAAAUCAGUCGAAGAUACCAGCUGGCUGCAACUGUUUAUUAAAAACACAGCACUGUGCAAACACGAAAGUGGACGUAUACGGUGUGACGCCUGCCCGGUGCCGGAAGGUUAAUUGAUGGGGUUAGCGGUAACGCGAAGCUCUUGAUCGAAGCCCCGGUAAACGGCGGCCGUAACUAUAACGGUCCUAAGGUAGCGAAAUUCCUUGUCGGGUAAGUUCCGACCUGCACGAAUGGCGUAAUGAUGGCCAGGCUGUCUCCACCCGAGACUCAGUGAAAUUGAACUCGCUGUGAAGAUGCAGUGUACCCGCGGCAAGACGGAAAGACCCCGUGAACCUUUACUAUAGCUUGACACUGAACAUUGAGCCUUGAUGUGUAGGAUAGGUGGGAGGCUUUGAAGUGUGGACGCCAGUCUGCAUGGAGCCGACCUUGAAAUACCACCCUUUAAUGUUUGAUGUUCUAACGUUGGCCCCUGAUCGGGGUUGCGGACAGUGUCUGGUGGGUAGUUUGACUGGGGCGGUCUCCUCCUAAAGAGUAACGGAGGAGCACGAAGGUUGGCUAAUCCUGGUCGGACAUCAGGAGGUUAGUGCAAUGGCAUAAGCCAGCUUGACUGCGAGCGUGACGGCGCGAGCAGGUGCGAAAGCAGGUCAUAGUGAUCCGGUGGUUCUGAAUGGAAGGGCCAUCGCUCAACGGAUAAAAGGUACUCCGGGGAUAACAGGCUGAUACCGCCCAAGAGUUCAUAUCGACGGCGGUGUUUGGCACCUCGAUGUCGGCUCAUCACAUCCUGGGGCUGAAGUAGGUCCCAAGGGUAUGGCUGUUCGCCAUUUAAAGUGGUACGCGAGCUGGGUUUAGAACGUCGUGAGACAGUUCGGUCCCUAUCUGCCGUGGGCGCUGGAGAACUGAGGGGGGCUGCUCCUAGUACGAGAGGACCGGAGUGGACGCAUCACUGGUGUUCGGGUUGUCAUGCCAAUGGCACUGCCCGGUAGCUAAAUGCGGAAGAGAUAAGUGCUGAAAGCAUCUAAGCACGAAACUUGCCCCGAGAUGAGUUCUCCCUGACUCCUUGAGAGUCCUGAAGGAACGUUGAAGACGACGACGUU
Molecule: ribosomal RNA, 1557 nt
Filed under: Escherichia coli
Lineage: Bacteria; Pseudomonadati; Pseudomonadota; Gammaproteobacteria; Enterobacterales; Enterobacteriaceae
Description: partial 23S ribosomal RNA
Rfam family: Bacterial large subunit ribosomal RNA
Source: RNAcentral